This 317-nucleotide long non-coding RNA is filed under the name Brassica napus (rape). RNAcentral's name for it is "long non-coding RNA (BNAP_LNC017706)". Lineage: Eukaryota; Viridiplantae; Streptophyta; Magnoliopsida; Brassicales; Brassicaceae. The record is from RNAcentral.
AGGUGGGUUCCUAAAAUUCUGGGAUUCAAGCGGAGGUUGGAAAAUAUGUAAAUUAGUAAAAUGUAGUUAUGGUUACAUAAUUAGUUUUAUAUUUUCAAAUAGGUCUAAUAGUAAGCAAAGUAAUAUUCCAAGUAGUUGUAGGUGUAAUUGUUAAGAGUGAUUCUGUUUUAAUAAAAUAGAUUUUAGGGUUUUGGGGAUUGUGAAGGAAAAAAAAAAUGAACUUGCGCCGUGUUCUCGUUGCUCAACUAUGGAAGAGGGCCUGUUCAACAGUAGCUGGUCCGCCGUCGGUUGUCGUUGAGACCCCUGUUGCGCUAGGU